This 253-nucleotide ribosomal RNA is filed under the name uncultured bacterium. RNAcentral's name for it is "partial 16S ribosomal RNA". It matches the Rfam family "Bacterial small subunit ribosomal RNA", at positions 524 to 776 of the family's 1533-position model. The record is from RNAcentral.
UACGUAGGUGGCAAGCGUUGUCCGGAAUUAUUGGGCGUAAAGCGCGCGCAGGUGGUUUCUUAAGUCUGAUGUGAAAGCCCACGGCUCAACCGUGGAGGGUCAUUGGAAACUGGGGAACUUGAGUGCAGGAGAGAAGAGUGGAAUUCCACGUGUAGCGGUGAAAUGCGUAGAGAUGUGGAGGAACACCAGUGGCGAAGGCGGCAUCCUGGACCAACACUGACACUGAGGAGCGAAAGCCAGGGGAGCAAACGGG